Hibiscus syriacus is the source of this 169-nucleotide long non-coding RNA. RefSeq lists it as uncharacterized. The transcript is spliced from 3 exons. NCBI's taxonomy places the organism in Eukaryota, Viridiplantae, Streptophyta, Magnoliopsida, Malvales, Malvaceae. The record is from RefSeq and is a predicted model, not a curated record.
CCUGCAGUGAUGAUCAUGCAUAGAGGGCUGAAAGAUGUUACGAAAACCGGCCCUCGUUCCCGGAUCACGAUGCCUUGAACGUAAUAGGCUAUCCCCGAGCACACUAUUCCCUACUCAAACACGGUUAUAGCGAAGCGUUAAGCACUUGUGAUUCGAAAGACUCUUCGGA